GCCUGGCUGGCGCAGUCGGUGGAGCAUGAGACUUUUGAUCUUGGGGUUGUGAGUUCGAGCCCCGCGUUGGGUA
This 73-nucleotide transfer RNA is filed under the name Ailuropoda melanoleuca (giant panda). It matches the Rfam family "tRNA". From Rfam's summary of the family: Transfer RNA (tRNA) molecules are approximately 80 nucleotides in length. Lineage: Eukaryota; Metazoa; Chordata; Mammalia; Carnivora; Ursidae. The record is from Rfam by way of RNAcentral.